Long non-coding RNA from Columba livia (rock pigeon), 740 nucleotides. RefSeq lists it as uncharacterized. NCBI's taxonomy places the organism in Eukaryota, Metazoa, Chordata, Aves, Columbiformes, Columbidae. The transcript has 2 exons. The record is from RefSeq and is a predicted model, not a curated record.
CAGACAAAAAUCUUCCAACUAAGAAACCCCCCUUUGCUGUUUCUGGCCACCUGCGGGGCCGCAUCCUGCCAAGUGCUCAGCAGUCCCAGCACCUCCUGGGGCCGCGCUGCAGGCUGAGGCCACGCGAGCGUUAAGCAUUAACCCUCGACAAUGUAGGGCAGGUGUGCGCCGCACCCCCCAAGGGAAGCUCUCCUCAGGGCUCAAACAUACAGCCUUUCCUGAAGCUGCUACCAGUUCAAACAGCCUCUACGCGGAUUGUAAGCGGUGUUUGAACAGCCCGUGCUCGGAGCCUCUAGCUGGAACCGAUGUGACCCCACAAGUAAAGCGAGCUCAGGGGGCACACUUUUUCAUCCAUCUAUCAACAAACCUGGCCUUCGCCUUACGUGCUGAAAGGGCUGCCCAGCCCCAAAGAUCUCUAUGAAGAGAUUUCCAUGGGCCAUUGCAUACUGAUAUGAGCAACCUCGGAGAUUUUAAGGCAGUUUCUCUUCAAUGCAUCUUUGUUGAUUCAAGAAGUUGCAGUCUACUUUUUACUAGCAGGACUCACUGAAGUCAACCCACUUCACCUAGGUCAUACCAAUAAUGUGGGAUAUGGCCAGGAUCAUUGCUUCUCCAGGUCUACCCAGAUCAAGCAAUAAGUGAGAUAAACUGAACUUGAUUUUUCUACCUCCUUUCUGAGAAUUUAUUAAAAAAAAAAAAAAAAAGGAAAUUUCCUGAGGUUUUAGCCUUUAUUUACAAGAAAA